Molecule: non-coding RNA, 103 nt
Filed under: Clostridioides difficile
Lineage: Bacteria; Bacillati; Bacillota; Clostridia; Peptostreptococcales; Peptostreptococcaceae
Also listed under: 29 other names
Rfam family: Purine riboswitch aptamer
About the family: Riboswitches are metabolite binding domains within certain messenger RNAs that serve as precision sensors for their corresponding targets.
Source: RNAcentral
GAAUAAAUUAAUAUAUUUACCUGUAUAUGUUUGAUAAUAUGGUUCAAAUGUUUCUACUAAGCUACCAUUAAUAGCUUGACUACAGGAGUGAAGAAGAUAUAGU